RNAcentral lists this ribosomal RNA (497 nucleotides) under uncultured bacterium. RNAcentral describes it as "partial 16S ribosomal RNA". It matches the Rfam family "Bacterial small subunit ribosomal RNA", at positions 28 to 507 of the family's 1533-position model. The record is from RNAcentral.
GAUGAACGCUGGCGGCGUGCCUAAUACAUGCGAGUCGAGCGAACGGACGAGAAGCUUGCUUCUCUGAUGUUAGCGGCGGACGGGUGAGUAACACGUGGAUAACCUACCUAUAAGACUGGGAUAACUUCGGGAAACCGGAGCUAAUACCGGAUGAUAUUUUGAACCGCAUGGUUCAAAAGUGAAAGACGGUCUUGCUGUCACUUAUAGAUGGAUCCGCGCUGCAUUAGCUAGUUGGUAAGGUAACGGCUUACCAAGGCAACGAUGCAUAGCCGACCUGAGAGGGUGAUCGGCCACACUGGAACUGAGACACGGUCCAGACUCCUACGGGAGGCAGCAGUAGGGAAUCUUCCGCAAUGGGCGAAAGCCUGACGGAGCAACGCCGCGUGAGUGAUGAAGGUCCUCGGAUCGUAAAACUCUGUUAUUAGGGAAGAACAUAUGUGUAAGUAACUGUGCACAUCUUGACGGUACCUAAUCAGAAAGCCACGGCUAACUACGUG